RNAcentral lists this ribosomal RNA (253 nucleotides) under uncultured bacterium. RNAcentral's name for it is "partial 16S ribosomal RNA". It matches the Rfam family "Bacterial small subunit ribosomal RNA", at positions 524 to 776 of the family's 1533-position model. The record is from RNAcentral.
UACGUAGGAUGCGAGCGUUGUUCGGAAUCACUGGGCGUAAAGCGUACGUAGGCGGUAAAUUGUGUCUGCUAUUAAAGACCGGGGCUUAACUCCGGGAAUGUAGCAGAAACUGAUUUGCUAGAGGUUAGUAGAGGGAAUCGGAAUUCUCAGUGUAGCGGUGAAAUGCGUAGAUAUUGGGAAGAACACCAGUGGCGAAAGCGGAUUUCUGGACCAUAACUGACGCUGAGGCACGAAAGCGUGGGUAGCAAACAGG